This 1499-nucleotide ribosomal RNA is filed under the name Limosilactobacillus fermentum. RNAcentral describes it as "bacterial SSU rRNA". It matches the Rfam family "Bacterial small subunit ribosomal RNA". The record is from RNAcentral. Lineage: Bacteria; Bacillati; Bacillota; Bacilli; Lactobacillales; Lactobacillaceae.
AAAUUUAGAGUUUGAAUUCUGGCUCAGGAUGAACGCCGGCGGUGUGCCUAAUACAUGCAAGUCGAACGCGUUGGNCCAAUUGAUUGAUGGUGCUUGCACCUGAUUGAUUUUGGUCGCCAACGAGUGGCGGACGGGUGAGUAACACGUAGGUAACCUGCCCAGAAGCGGGGGACAACAUUUGGAAACAGAUGCUAAUACCGCAUAACANCGUUGUUCGCAUGAACAACGCUUAAAAGAUGGCUUCUCGCUAUCACUUCUGGAUGGACCUGCGGUGCAUUAGCUUGUUGGUGGGGUAACGGCCUACCAAGGCGAUGAUGCAUAGCCGAGUUGAGAGACUGAUCGGCCACAAUGGGACUGAGACACGGCCCAUACUCCUACGGGAGGCAGCAGUAGGGAAUCUUCCACAAUGGGCGCAAGCCUGAUGGAGCAACACCGCGUGAGUGAAGAAGGGUUUCGGCUCGUAAAGCUCUGUUGUUAAAGAAGAACACGUAUGAGAGUAACUGUUCAUNCGUUGACGGUAUUUAACCAGAAAGUCACGGCUAACUACGUGCCAGCAGCCGCGGUAAUACGUAGGUGGCAAGCGUUAUCCGGAUUUAUUGGGCGUAAAGAGAGUGCAGGCGGUUUUCUAAGUCUGAUGUGAAAGCCUUCGGCUUAACCGGAGAAGUGCAUCGGAAACUGGAUAACUUGAGUGCAGAAGAGGGUAGUGGAACUCCAUGUGUAGCGGUGGAAUGCGUAGAUAUAUGGAAGAACACCAGUGGCGAAGGCGGCUACCUGGUCUGCAACUGACGCUGAGACUCGAAAGCAUGGGUAGCGAACAGGAUUAGAUACCCUGGUAGUCCAUGCCGUAAACGAUGAGUGCUAGGUGUUGGAGGGUUUCCGCCCUUCAGUGCCGGAGCUAACGCAUUAAGCACUCCGCCUGGGGAGUACGACCGCAAGGUUGAAACUCAAAGGAAUUGACGGGGGCCCGCACAAGCGGUGGAGCAUGUGGUUUAAUUCGAAGCUACGCGAAGAACCUUACCAGGUCUUGACAUCUUGCGCCAACCCUAGAGAUAGGGCGUUUCCUUCGGGAACGCAAUGACAGGUGGUGCAUGGUCGUCGUCAGCUCGUGUCGUGAGAUGUUGGGUUAAGUCCCGCAACGAGCGCAACCCUUGUUACUAGUUGCCAGCAUUAAGUUGGGCACUCUAGUGAGACUGCCGGUGACAAACCGGAGGAAGGUGGGGACGACGUCAGAUCAUCAUGCCCCUUAUGACCUGGGCUACACACGUGCUACAAUGGACGGUACAACGAGUCGCGAACUCGCGAGGGCAAGCAAAUCUCUUAAAACCGUUCUCAGUUCGGACUGCAGGCUGCAACUCGCCUGCACGAAGUCGGAAUCGCUAGUAAUCGCGGAUCAGCAUGCCGCGGUGAAUACGUUCCCGGGCCUUGUACACACCGCCCGUCACACCAUGAGAGUUUGUAACACCCAAAGUCGGUGGGGUAACCUUUAGGAGCCAGCCGCC